This 253-nucleotide ribosomal RNA is filed under the name uncultured archaeon. RNAcentral's name for it is "partial 16S ribosomal RNA". It matches the Rfam family "Archaeal small subunit ribosomal RNA", at positions 474 to 726 of the family's 1478-position model. The record is from RNAcentral.
UCCCGGCGCCACAAGUGGAACCCACGAUUAUUGGGCCUAAAGCAUCCGUAGCCGGUUUGUUAAAUUCUCUGUGAAAUCUGGCAGCUUAACUGUCAGGCGAGCAGAGAACACUGGCAAACUUGAGACAGGGAGGAGCAGAGGGUAUUCUAGGGGGAGCGGUAAAAUGUUUUAAUCCUUAGAGGACCACCGAUGGCGAAGGCACUCUGCUAGAACUGGUCUGACGGUGAGGGAUGAAAGCUAGGGGAGCGAUUGG